RNAcentral lists this ribosomal RNA (250 nucleotides) under uncultured Atopobium sp. Its description in RNAcentral is "partial 16S ribosomal RNA". It matches the Rfam family "Bacterial small subunit ribosomal RNA", at positions 89 to 339 of the family's 1533-position model. Lineage: Bacteria; Bacillati; Actinomycetota; Coriobacteriia; Coriobacteriales; Atopobiaceae. The record is from RNAcentral.
UAUAAAGUGGCGAACGGCUGAGUAACACGUGGGCAACCUGCCCUCCUCUUGGGGAUAGCCUCGGGAAACCGAGGAUAAUACCCGAUACUUCAAUGUGGCCGCAUGACGACAUUGAGAAAGCUUUUGCGGAGAAGGAUGGGCCCGCGGCCUGUUAGCUUGUUGGUGGGGUAGAGGCCUACCAAGGCAAUGAUGGGUAGCUGGGUUGAGAGACCGACCAGCCAGAUUGGGACUGAGACACGGCCCAGACUCC